Molecule: ribosomal RNA, 253 nt
Filed under: uncultured bacterium
Lineage: Bacteria
Description: partial 16S ribosomal RNA
Rfam family: Bacterial small subunit ribosomal RNA
Source: RNAcentral
UAGGAAGGGGGCUAGCGUUGUUCGGAAUGACUGGGCGUAAAGCGCACGUAGGCGGAUUGGUCAGUUGGGGGUGAAAUCCCGGGGCUCAACCUCGGAACUGCCUCCAAUACUGCCAAUCUUGAGUUCGGGAGAGGUGAGUGGAAUUCCUAGUGUAGAGGUGAAAUUCGUAGAUAUUAGGAAGAACACCAGUGGCGAAGGCGGCUCACUGGCCCGAUACUGACGCUGAGGUGCGACAGCGUGGGGAGCAAACAGG